This is a long non-coding RNA of Anopheles merus, 529 nucleotides long. RefSeq lists it as uncharacterized. NCBI's taxonomy places the organism in Eukaryota, Metazoa, Arthropoda, Insecta, Diptera, Culicidae. The record is from RefSeq and is a predicted model, not a curated record. The transcript is spliced from 3 exons.
CAUUAUCGCGCGAUUUUUAUGUGUAUCUAUCAUUUUUCUCAUUCUAACAUUCAGAAAAUUUUUCUCUCUGCCUCAGUAAACUAUUAUUUAAACUAUUUGAAAUCGUAACACACGCACGCUUCCGCGUGAGCACGGACAACGAUAGAAGCAAUAUUCAAUUGGUUGGAGUGCCGAAAACAACAGAACUGGAGGAGAAAGAAAGCAGGAACGACCAUUCAACGCGCUAGCGUCGGAGAAGCGGCAGGGGGGCAGGAACUUGUCCAACGUGCUAGCGCCUGAUAGAGGAGAAGCAGCAGGAAGGUAGGGACGAUCCUCCAGCGCGCUAGCGCAGCAUGUGGGAACAGCGAGAGGGAGGCAAGCAGGAAGAAUUUUUAUCGCGUGCACACCAUUCGACGAAGACAACGCUGGAUAAAAGGAAGAACGAGGAGAGAAUGCUGGCAAGACGGGUACGUGUGUAUCCCGCACCGGUUUUCGGCAGUAUGAAUUGUGUGAGUAUUGGAAAGUGGAUGUGCGAGUAAAGAGAUAAAAA